Molecule: small nucleolar RNA, 212 nt
Filed under: Carlito syrichta (Philippine tarsier)
Lineage: Eukaryota; Metazoa; Chordata; Mammalia; Primates; Tarsiidae
Description: Small nucleolar RNA U3 (ENSTSYG00000024346.2)
Rfam family: Small nucleolar RNA U3
About the family: Small nucleolar RNAs (snoRNAs) are involved in the processing and modification of rRNA in the nucleolus.
Source: Rfam by way of RNAcentral
CUGUGCCUGGCCCAGGGAUAAUUUCUAAAGUUUGACACUACAGAAAUUCCUCUGAACACGUAGAGUACCAGAAACCAUAAGGAAGAGAUUCAGCAUUCUCUCCUAAGCAUGAAGCUGGCUGUUGGCAAUGGCUCCUUGCAAUUGUCAUUUGCCAUAGAUUACGAUCUUCUCUUCCUUUGGGAUAUUAAGAGAGAGGAUGUAGCCUGAGUGGU